AUGCUCACUUUGACAGCACGUGUACUAAGCUGGAAUGAUACAGAGAAGAUUAGCAUGGCUCUUGCACAAGGACAACAGGCAAAUUCAUCAAGCAUUCCAUAAAAAA
Molecule: small nuclear RNA, 106 nt
Filed under: Bison bison bison
Lineage: Eukaryota; Metazoa; Chordata; Mammalia; Artiodactyla; Bovidae
Source: RNAcentral